This 895-nucleotide long non-coding RNA is filed under the name Homo sapiens (human). Its description in RNAcentral is "HSALNT0363595". The record is from RNAcentral. Lineage: Eukaryota; Metazoa; Chordata; Mammalia; Primates; Hominidae.
GCAGCUGGGGCUGGCCUGGUCCUGUGACGCAAACCUGGUUCUUAGGAUGUAGCCGGAAUUUGCUGAAAGGUUCUAAGGAAGUUUUGGCUUUCUUGAUGAGAGAGGCCCAGCCCGAAAUGAUUCCCUCUCCCUGAGUACAGGGCGCUCAGCUGAAGCCACAGCAGCCCUGGCGAGACGAGGCCCCAGCAGGACAGGGACACCAAGGGAAUCACACAGGGCACAGCCCAGGCAUCGCUGGGUCACUGGGUCCCUCUGGAUUUGUGGCUGGACAAAAAGAAAUCCUAUUUGCUCCGGUCAGUGGUCCUCCGUUAAGGGUGAUCUUGCCUCCUAAGAACAUGCAACAACUUCUGGAGAGUGGAUCACCUGUUCCUGAAAUUAAAACUACUGCCUGUCUUCUGGCUGCUCCUGGGGAAGUGAUGAGAAAAAAUUAGAGAAUUUCAGCUUGACAUAAGAAUUUUUCCAAAGGAAGUGAGUUCCCCAUCGAUGGAGGUAUUCAAGCAGAACUGAGACAGUGCAGCAGCUUGUCCAGCAACCUCGAGGGAGCAGAAUGGGGGCCCAGGCAGCAGCUGGGCAAGCUACAGGCUUACAAUGUUAUGAUCAGACAAGUCUAUUGGCUAGAAACUGGCACUGCCAAUGGAAAACUCUGAAUAUGUACAACUUCUAGAUGUUUCUUCCUAAAGCUAAACAGAACGUGGACUCAGGACUGUUCUUGUAGAAGCACGUCCCCCACGCUGCAGGUACCACAGCCCCUGGCAGCAGUGAAGAGGCCCGGGCAUGGUCUCAGUUACUUCUCAAAGCUGGGACUCCUCACGGCCUCCAGUCCGGUGACAAGCCCAAAUGGGUCCAUGCUGUCGGUCUCCAGGGGCGAAGAGAACAUGUCAGAUUCCAAGUGGCC